RNAcentral lists this ribosomal RNA (253 nucleotides) under uncultured bacterium. RNAcentral's name for it is "partial 16S ribosomal RNA". It matches the Rfam family "Bacterial small subunit ribosomal RNA", at positions 524 to 776 of the family's 1533-position model. The record is from RNAcentral.
UACGGGGGGGGCAAGCGUUGUUCGGAAUUACUGGGCGUAAAGGGCUCGUAGGCGGCCAACUAAGUCGGAUGUGAAAUCCCCGGGCUUAACCUGGGAACUGCAUCCGAUACUGGAUGGCUUGAAUCCGGGAGAGGGAUGCAGAAUUCCAGGUGUAGCGGUGAAAUGCGUAGAUAUCUGGAGGAAUACCGGUGGCGAAGGCGGCAUCCUGGACCGGCAUUGACGCUGAUGAGCGAAAGCUAGGGGAGCAAACGGG